This is an RNA transcript of Vidua chalybeata, 4315 nucleotides long. It is a transcript of the gene named LLGL scribble cell polarity complex component 2, with no coding region annotated. The record is from RefSeq and is a predicted model, not a curated record. The transcript is spliced from 26 exons. NCBI's taxonomy places the organism in Eukaryota, Metazoa, Chordata, Aves, Passeriformes, Viduidae.
GCCGCCGCCGCGCAGCUGAGGGGGAGCGGGCGCGGAGCGGAGCGCGGCCGGGGCGGCCCGGCCCCAGCCCCCGCAGGAUUUUUGUUGCCAAGAUACUACAGCAACGAAAAUGAGAAGGUUCUUAAGACCCGGACAUGAUCCAGUUCGAGAGAGGCUCAAGCGCGACCUUUUCCAGUUUAACAAGACUGUGGAACAUGGAUUUCCCCACCAGCCCAGUGCCCUGGGCUACAGCCCAUUUCUGCGUCUCAUGGCCAUUGGGACACGGUCAGGAGCCAUCAAAUUAUAUGGUGCUCCAGGGGUGGAGUUCAUGGGUUUACAUGAAGAAAACAACACUGUAAUGCAGAUUCACUUUAUACCUGAUCAGUGCCAGCUGGUGACACUGCUGGAUGAUAACAGCUUGCACCUCUGGAGCCUGAAGCAGCACGGAGGAACAUCCGAACUGCGGGAGGAGCAUCGCUUCACCCUCAAAGGACCACCUGGCUCUCCACCAAGUGCCACCCAGGUAACAGCUGUGCUUCCCCAUUCCUCACGGGAAGUGCUGUACCUCGGCACAGAGAGUGGCAACAUCUUUGUGGUGGAGCUGCCCUCCUUCCGAGUGCUGGAGGACAGGACCAUCACCCCUGAGGCCGUGCUGCAGCGGAUACCGGAAGAUAACUGCAACAGGCGAUCCUGUGAACUGGUGGAAGCCCUUCGGGAGCAUCCUAAGAACCCUGACCAGAUCCUAAUUGGAUACAGCAGGGGCUUGAUAGUCCUCUGGGAUCUGCAGAAUAACAAAGCAACACACCAUUUCCUGGGCAGCCAGCAACUGGAGAACCUCUACUGGCAGAGGGAUGGCAGUAAAUUCAUUAGUUGUCACUACGAUGGAAGUUACAGUCAGUGGCCAGUAUCCAGUGACAACAGGCAGGCAGAGCCUCUGGAAAACACUGUGCCUUAUGGUCCUUUUCCUUGCAAGGCCAUCUCCAAGAUCUACUGGCAGACAACAAAAAAUGGGCUUCCUUACAUAAUAUUCCAAGGAGGAAUGCCCCGGGCUAGCUAUGGGGACCGGCACAGUAUCUCUGUUAUCCACGGCAGCCAGCAAACAGCAUUUGACUUUACCUCACGGGUGAUAGACUUCUUUAUAAUCUUCAGUUCAGAUCCUGCUGCAGAGUUCGAUGACCCCUCUGCCCUGGUGGUGCUGGCAGAAGAAGAGCUUGUGGUCAUAGAUUUGAAAAGUGCAGGCUGGCCAGCAGUGCACCCUCCAUACUUGGCCUCCCUUCACUGUUCAGCCAUCACCUGCUCUCACCACGUCUCCAACAUCCCACUGAAGCUCUGGGAGCGGAUUAUCAGCGCUGGGAGCAAGCAGAACCUUCACUACUCCAGCAUGCCAUGGCCGAUUGAUGGUGGCACCAACAUCGCUCCAGAUCCUCCACAGAGGGACUUGCUGCUAACAGGGCAUGAGGAUGGCACAGUGAGGUUUUGGGAUGCCUCUGGUGUCUGCUUGCACCUCCUUUAUAAGCUGAGCACAGUGAGAGUGUUCCUCACAGAUGCUGAUCCCAAUGACAACAUGAACACCCUGGGGGAGGACGAAUGGCCUCCGCUCCGCAAGGUUGGUACCUUCGAUCCUUACAGUGAUGAUCCAAGACUUGGGAUCCAGAAGAUCUACCUGUGUAAAUACAGUGGAUACUUGGCUGUAGCUGGUACAGCAGGACAGGUUCUGGUGAUGGAACUGAAUGAUGAGGAUGCAGAACACGUGGUGGACCAUGCUGAAGCAGAUCUCCUGCAGGACCAAGAGGGCUAUCGAUGGAAAGGUCAUGAGAAGCUAAAAACUCGAGAUGGGCCUGUUCGAUUUGAAGCUGGUUUUCAGCCAUUUGUCCUUGUCCAGUGUCAGCCACCAGCUGUGGUCACCUCUUUGGCCCUGCACUCGGAGUGGAAGCUUGUGGCCUUUGGUACCAGUCAUGGGUUUGGGCUUUUUGACCAUCAGCAGAAGCGACUGGUCUUUGUCAAGUGCACACUGCAUCCCAGUGAUCAGCUGGCCUUAGAAGGUCCCCUAUCUCGAGUGAAAUCCUUGAAGAAGUCCCUCCGUCAGUCAUUCCGGCGGAUCAGAAGAAGCCGCGUGUCCAGUAGGAAGCGGAGAGGAGGUGGUGGGAAUGCCUCAGAGGUGCAAGAAGCAAAUGCCAAGUUUGACCAGGACGUGUUGCAGGAGAUGGAACUGGCUCCAGUCCAGCGCAAGAUUGAAGCGCGCUCGGCAGAAGACUCUUUCACUGGCUUUGUGCGAACCUUGUAUUUUGCUGAUACCUUCCUGAGAGACAGCUCCCGGCACUGCCCAUCCCUGUGGGCUGGCACCAAUGGAGGGACAGUCUACGCUUUCUGUUUACGUGUUCCUCCUGCUGAGAGGAGGAUGGAUGAGCCUGUGAGGGCAGAGCAGGCCAAAGAGAUUCAGCUGAUGCACAGGGCUCCUGUUGUGGGGAUUCUUGUGUUGGAUGGACGCAGCACUCCCCUCCCAGAACCUCUAGAAGUAGCACAUGACCUUUCCAAGAGUCCUGAUAUGCAAGGCAGCCACCAGCUGCUGGUGGUAUCUGAAGAGCAAUUUAAGGUCUUCACAUUGCCCAAGGUCAGCUCCAAACUGAAGCUCAAGCUGACAGCCCUGGAGGGCUGCAGGGUACGGAAGGUGACAGUUGCCAACUUUGGCAGCUGCAAGACUGAUGAUUACAGUGAGAAUGACCUGGCAGUGCUGACCAACCUGGGAGACAUCCAGAUCAUCUCCCUGCCCUUCCUCAAGCUGCAGAUCCGCUACCCCUGCAUCCGCAAGGAGGAUGUGAGUGGCAUUGCAUCCUGUGUCUUCACCAAAUAUGGCCAAGGUUUCUAUCUGAUCUCACCGUCGGAGUUUGAGAGGUUUUCCCUUUCCACCAAAUGGUUGGUGGAGCCCCGGUGCAUCGUGGACAUGCCAGAAGUGACAAGCAACAACCACGUGCACAAAUCUGGCACAGAGAAUGCUGCAAGGAAUUCCAGGGGACCAGGAAAGAAUCCAGGUGACUGUGGAGAAGAUGAAAGGAAGUCUGGGAAGCUGAUGGAACAUGCCUUACUCAAUGACGAAAAAGUGCUGAAGGAGAUCCAGAGUACUCUGGAGGGGGGCAGAGGGAGAGAUCACAUUCCUACAUCCUCAAGGAACAGGACUCUGAGUAUUCGCAUACAGGUUUCUAUCUGUGUCAACCCAUACUGAUCUAAGGGCAGGCCACAUGGGCUAAGUUGGUCAAGGAUGGGACUCUGGAGUUUUAAUCCUGGCUUGACACUGUCCCUUGGAUGUGUUCAGUGUCUCUGCUCCCAUUCUGUCUGUACAAUAGAGCUGAGCUACCACCACGGCUGCGGGGCUUUAUCUCAUCUCCCUAGAAUGGUCAGGGGCUACCAAGUGUAGGCAAAGGACUAGCGUCUGCAACGGAUGCAGGAAGCUUGGUGGGAUUGGUAACUGCUGGUGUCAAGGAUCAGUGACUGCCUGACAUGCUCUGCUCUGUGCACUUCCUCUGGACACUACCUCAUCCUGGUCUUCUGUUGGCAUCUGGGAGUGGAUGGGAUGAGAUGGCACUGCAAUAAGGAAUCUCUUCUUGUGUCAUUGCAGGAGCUAUGCAGAAAAAAAUUUGGCAAGAAGUCCGUUAGGACAUGGACUAAGUAAUGGAGGAGCAGAUUGACCAGAACUCAUGGAGGACAUCGUGGCAUUGGAUUGAGUGCCAUAACACUACUGACUGGGCAAACCGUCCCUGGGGAGAAGGCACCAGGGCUCCCAGCAGCCAGACUGGGGAGCUGCAGCUCCAGUGCUGUGCUUCUGCCUCUGCUCCCCUUUAGUGCCUCUUGGAGACCUCUCCUGCUGGAGCCAGCCUUGCUUUAGGACAGCAGUGGAUGCCAGGUCUGAUGCACCACAAGCCUCUGAGUACAUCUAUCAUUCAAAUGUUUGCACAUUUCUCUUUUCUACUGGGCUGGGUUUUAAAUUAUAAAUGUUUUACUGCCUUGGUGCAGGAUUUUAAUAAACGCACACUGUUACCUCCAACAAUUAUUUUUUGUACAUUUUUUAAAAAUCUUAUGGGUAUUUCAGUUUUAAAAGAAACAUUUAGAAAUUUACUUUAAGAAAAAAACAUUAAUAUAUGCUAGAUUCCUGUGAUUGCUGUAUGUGGUAUCUGAAUGAGUAAUUUUGGGGUUUGUUUGUUAUGGUACUGUUAACUGGCAUUAUGGAUUUGGGUAGAAUCUAUUUUUGUAGCCAUUCAAAUCAGAGGAAAACUAAUUGAAUUUGAUUUUUGUUUCAACACUACAUUGCUCUUUUUUUUUUUUUUUUUUUUUUUGCAAUAAA